GACAGAGGGUGCAAACGUUGCUCGGAAUCAUUGGGCGUAAAGCGCGUGUAGGCGGCUUGUUACGUCGGGUGUGAAAGCCCAGGGCUCAACCCUGGCAGUGCACCCGAAACGGGGAAGCUGGAGUACUGGAGAGGCGAGUGGAAUUCCUGGUGUAGAGGUGAAAUUCGUAGAUAUCAGGAGGAACACCGGUGGCGAAGGCGACUCGCUGGCCAGUAACUGACGCUGAGACGCGAAAGCGUGGGGAGCAAACAGGAUUAGAUACCCUGGUAGUCCACGCUGUAAACGAUGCACACUGGGUGUCGCGGGUAUUGACCCCCGCGGUGCCGAAGCCAACGCGUUAAGUGUGCCGCCUGGGAAGUACGGCCGCAAGGCUAAA
This 376-nucleotide ribosomal RNA is filed under the name uncultured bacterium. Its description in RNAcentral is "bacterial SSU rRNA". It matches the Rfam family "Bacterial small subunit ribosomal RNA", at positions 524 to 898 of the family's 1533-position model. The record is from RNAcentral.